This 292-nucleotide ribosomal RNA is filed under the name uncultured Microbacteriaceae bacterium. RNAcentral's name for it is "partial 16S ribosomal RNA". It matches the Rfam family "Bacterial small subunit ribosomal RNA", at positions 505 to 796 of the family's 1533-position model. The record is from RNAcentral. Lineage: Bacteria; Bacillati; Actinomycetota; Actinomycetes; Micrococcales; Microbacteriaceae.
GUGUCAGCCGCCGUGGUAAUACGUAGGGUGCAAGCGUUGUCCGGAAUUAUUGGGCGUAAAGAGCUCGUAGGCGGUUUGUCGCGUCUGCUGUGAAAAUCCGAGGCUCAACCUCGGACUUGCAGUGGGUACGGGCAGACUAGAGUGCAGUAGGGGAGAAGGGAAUUCCUGGUGUAGCGGUGGAAUGCGCAGAUAUCAGGAGGAACACCAAUGGCGAAGGCACUUCUCUGGGCUGUAACUGACGCUGAGGAGCGAAAGCGUGGGGAGCGAACAGGAUUAGAAACCCCAGUAGUCC